Gossypium raimondii (Peruvian cotton) is the source of this 697-nucleotide RNA transcript. RefSeq lists it as uncharacterized. The transcript is spliced from 2 exons. Lineage: Eukaryota; Viridiplantae; Streptophyta; Magnoliopsida; Malvales; Malvaceae. The record is from RefSeq and is a predicted model, not a curated record.
AGGUAUAAAAAUUUUAAAUAAUAAUAAAAGUAGGGGUAAGAAAGUAAUCGCAAUCUCUAAAAGAAAGGGAAGGUGGGUGAGUUUGCCGCGUAAAUGUUGGAAAAUUGCAUUAACCAAUCGGCAAUGGCAGUCCAUUCCACUAUAUAUAUUUGCCGUCAAACACCAAUUUUUCCGCAAAAAUUCUCACCUUUUCAGUUUUUUUCUUCAAAUUUCCCAUUCAAGAAUCUUUACUCUUUUAUUAUUAUUAUUAUUAUUAUUAUUUUCUUUCCGCUUCUCCAUAAUUCUUUGGAUCAAAUUGCUUUAGCUUAUCGUCAACCAUGAAGAAAUCAGGGCUCUUCGCUGCCUCUGUUGUUGCUGCCUCUGCUUCUGCUUCCUCCAAUUUCACUUGUAACUCCAAUUUUCAGCUUUCCAGUGAGGAGAAGAAAGAGCAUGAAAAUUCUGCAAACACGAAACCAGCUCCAACCGAGAAAUUUGCACCGAGGUUUGAUGGGUUAAGGUUCAUUGAGACUUUGGUCACUGCUCACCGAUAAAAGAAAAAAGCUUCAAUUUUUUUUAACUUGAUGAAGAAUUUUUAUUAUUUUGACCUUUUUGGCCUUUACUACAUCCUUCUAAGCAAGAAGAGAAAGAUAUGAACUAUGAUGUUUUUCAGUGUUUAUUAGUACUAAUUAUGUGAAGAAAAAAAAGCCCCUUGUUUUCA